AGAGUUUGAUCCUGGCUCAGGAUGAACGCCGGCGGNNNGCCUAAUACAUGCAAGUCGAACGCGUUGGCCCAAUUGAUUGACGGUGCCUGCACCUGAUUGAUUUUGNUUGCCAACGAGUGGCGGACGGGUGAGUAACACGUAGGUAACCUGCCCAGAAGCGGGGGACAACAUUUGGAAACAGAUGCUAAUACCGCAUAA
Molecule: ribosomal RNA, 198 nt
Filed under: uncultured bacterium
Lineage: Bacteria
Description: partial 16S ribosomal RNA
Rfam family: Bacterial small subunit ribosomal RNA
Source: RNAcentral